UACGUAGGGUGCGAGCGUUGUCCGGAAUUAUUGGGCGUAAAGAGCUUGUAGGCGGUUUGUCGCGUCUGCCGUGAAAGCCCAGGUCUUAACCCUGGGUCUGCGGUGGGUACGGGCAGACUAGAGUGUGGUAGGGGAGACUGGAAUUCCUGGUGUAGCGGUGAAAUGCGCAGAUAUCAGGAGGAACACCAAUGGCGAAGGCAGCUCGCUGGGACGGUACUGACACUGAGACGCGAAAGCGUGGGGAGCAAACAGG
This 253-nucleotide ribosomal RNA is filed under the name uncultured bacterium. RNAcentral's name for it is "partial 16S ribosomal RNA". It matches the Rfam family "Bacterial small subunit ribosomal RNA", at positions 524 to 776 of the family's 1533-position model. The record is from RNAcentral.